Fukomys damarensis (Damara mole-rat) is the source of this 2446-nucleotide long non-coding RNA. Lineage: Eukaryota; Metazoa; Chordata; Mammalia; Rodentia; Bathyergidae. The record is from Ensembl.
GGGGCCCUGCAGUGCACUCCUGACAGGUGCUAAAGCCAGCAGCCUUUGGGAUGCACAGACUUGGGGGGCUGGAGGCCUGGCAGCCAAGGCCCAGGGGGAAUCCAGGACCUGGAACUCUGGUCUCUCAGCUUUGGUUUUUCCCACAGGUGAGAUCGAGGCUCUCGGGAGCCCACGUGGGUCACCUGGAGUUGGUGCUGGAGGACAGGGGUGUCUCCUCUGUCAAGCCCAGUGGCUGCCACCAGACGGAGGCGGUCAGCGUCCUGCACUGGCCACAGGCCGGGAGGAGCGGCCGGCACCUAGUGCAGCACCAGCCAGAGGCUGUGGGCCCAGAGCAGCACACACGGCACCGCCAGCUCGAGCUGCAACACGAGUGCUCCUGCACCCAGGUCCCCGGCUUCAGCCCCAAGCGCGCCCGCGUCCCUGGGGUGCUAGGCAUGGGCUCCGGCACAGGACUGAUGGCCCGAGGACCCCGUGUGCCGCCUUCCAGCUCUGUCCACACUCUGGAGUUGGCGCUUCCCAGUCUUGCUGGAGCCUUCUUUUUGUCGCAGGCUUCCAGUGAUCUGCCUCUUUUGACCAAGCCCCGCCUCUGAACUUGAGAUGGAAACUCUGAAAGGCUCAGGUCUACCUCAUUACGCGAAGUCUCUGAGAAUGACCAGUCUUAACGGUUCCUGCACCGCUAAAAAGUCCAACUCCGAAGUCUCCUCUGAGGCUCAAGGCAAGCUCUUAGCCGUGAUCCAAAAGGAAAGUGAAGUGCUUCCGACAUCCAGGGGUACAGGGUAAGCGCUCUCAUUCCAGAAGGGGAUAGAAAUGCACUGGCCCAAAGCAGGACUGAGGCUGGACACGGCCAACAGUAAGUCCUGCAGUUCAGGGUGCUGAGAGGUGGCAAGAGGUGAGCUGCAGAGGGCUCGGGCAGCUAUGGCAUCAUCAGUUGCGGCCCAGUCUCUCUCUCUCUCUCUGGCUCUGCGCAGCGCCUAUUGCUUCCCUCGCUGCACAUCCCACAUUCCUGGCAUCUCCGACUUCCUGGGGUCUCCACUGCGCCUUUGAGUUCCCUCUCUCAGCUGCGCGCCCUCCCGGUCAGGGCCACACGGCCUGGGCAGAAGCCUCUGUGAACCUGUACGCCUUGCCUCCCGCAUCCCCGGAAAACCAGUAUCAUGCGAAUGACUCCAAAGCCUGCGCCAGCUUGAGCAGCAGCCGGGCCCCCUGGGACCAUAGCCGUGGCAGCCUCUGAGCGCCUCAAUGGCUGAGCAGGGUGGGAUGAACCGAGGGCACCAGGUCCCCAGGGGGCCCGGCUUAGUCUCCAAGUUGCUCUCCUCCUCCCUCGGCCUCCAGAGUAGCGGGGUGAUAGGAGAGCACCGCUGUGCUUUCUUUAACUCUCCUGUCUUGUUGGAAGGUGGAGGGCAGGGAGAAGAACACAGGAGCGGUGGCGGCUGGGGUGGAGCCGGGGCAGUGUCCGAGGCCCGGAGCUGCACCGUGGGAUCCUGGCCGACGCCCUUCUCCAGCUGGGCCGCAGGUCCUGAGAGGCCCGUGGGUCUCACCCACCCGAAGGGCAGCGCGCUGGGGGCCACCCUUGGGGGAAGGACGCGUCCCAGGCCCUGCUGUGGGGUCGGGAGGGGAGGUGAGCGUCAGCUGUGGGGCCUCCUGGGCCGAUGGCUCCUGUUACGGCUUCUAGACCUGUGCUCAGGCUGUGGCCCCUGCCUGGACGCCUUGGUCAUGUGCAGGGCUAAGCAAGGCUCACACCUCGUUGGUGCCCCGUGGCACUUGUAAUUGCUCGCUCAUUUCUCACCUUGGCUAAUGCAGCCCUACAUCGGUUGGAUUUUCGGGGAUUGAACUCGGGUCCUUGCGUUUGCAAGGCAGGCGCUGGCACCACGGAGCAGGUCAUGCUCUGUCCGCAGGCCCUGACCCCAUUCUCCCUGUUACCUGUUACCUUCCAGCCCCUCAGGUCUCACUUGUGUUCCCCGAACAUACCUCAGGGUCUUUCUGUUGCUGUGCCUUUUCCCUAAAAAAAUGUUUUUUCACUUUGAAAAAAUGUAUUUACUGUAGUUUAUUCUAAAAUUAGCUUUUAUUUUUAUUCAAGUCAUACAAAAUUUAAAAGUGGAUUAGUCUGUCCAUAUUGGGUUAAUUAUGUUACUUGGGGACUAAUUAUAUUAUACUCUGCUCAUGCAUGUAUAUAAAAUUCAUUUUUUAAAGUAAAGUUUAUAAGAAAAAUUAUUCUUUGUCUCCCAUCUUCCUAUCCCAAGUCUUGGUGGCCAUAGGAACCACUAUAAAUGUCUUAGCUGUCUCUCCAGUUAUACCUUUUGAAGUAAUAUAAUCAUGCUGUUAUUUCUUGACUUUCUUGACUUUUCUGUUUUAGGCUUUGCCUGUAGAUUUUUUACUAGAAAGGAUUGAGAAUUUAACUCUUACCUUAGCCCUUUUCAAGAAGCGGUUUCCCCAUCUUCUUUUUUUUUUU